Molecule: ribosomal RNA, 497 nt
Filed under: uncultured bacterium
Lineage: Bacteria
Description: partial 16S ribosomal RNA
Rfam family: Bacterial small subunit ribosomal RNA
Source: RNAcentral
GAUGAACGCUGGCGGCGUGCCUAAUACAUGCAAGUCGAGCGACCAGACGAGGAGCUUGCUCCUCUGACGUUAGCGGCGGACGGGUGAGUAACACGUGGAUAACCUACCUAUCCUACUGGGCUAACUUCGGGAAACCGGAGCUAACACCGGAUAAUAUAUUGAACUGCACGGUUCCCUAGUGAAAGACGGUUUUGCUGUCACUUAUAGAUGGAUCCGCGCCGCAUUAGCUAGGUGGUAAGGUAACGGCUUACCAAGGCAACGAUGCGUUGGCGACCUGAUAGGAGGGUCAGCCACACUGGAACUGAAACGCGGUCCGGACUAGUACGGGAGGCAGCGGUAGGGAAUGUAACGCAGGGGGCGGAAGGCUGGCGGGACAACGCCACGUGAGGUAUGAGAGGCUGCGGAUCGUAGAACUCUGUUAUUAUUAAGGAACGAAAAUGUAAGUAACUAGUCACGUCUUGACGGUACCUAAUCAGAAAGCCACGGCUAACUACGUG